UGCUAACGUCGGUCUGGCAGCCGCGGUAAGAUGGGGGGUUCAUGCGGUAUCCGGAUUUAUUGGGUUUAAAGGGUCCGUAGGCGGACUGGUAAGUCAGUGGGGAAAGCCUACAGCUUAACUGUAGAACUGCCGUUGAUACUGUCGGUCUUGAGUGUGGUUGAGGUAGCUGGAAUGAGUAGUGUAGCGGUGAAAUGCAUAGAUAUUACUCAGAACACCAAUUGCGAAGGCAGGUUACCAAGUCACAACUGACGCUGAUGGACGAAAGCGUGGGGAGCGAACAGGAUUAGAUACCCCAGUAGUC
RNAcentral lists this ribosomal RNA (301 nucleotides) under uncultured Alteromonas sp. Its description in RNAcentral is "bacterial SSU rRNA". It matches the Rfam family "Bacterial small subunit ribosomal RNA", at positions 495 to 795 of the family's 1533-position model. The record is from RNAcentral. Lineage: Bacteria; Pseudomonadati; Pseudomonadota; Gammaproteobacteria; Alteromonadales; Alteromonadaceae.